This 916-nucleotide ribosomal RNA is filed under the name uncultured archaeon. Its description in RNAcentral is "bacterial SSU rRNA". It matches the Rfam family "Archaeal small subunit ribosomal RNA", at positions 1 to 924 of the family's 1478-position model. The record is from RNAcentral.
UUCCGGUUGAUCCUGCCGGACCUGACUGCUAUCGGAUUGAUACUAAGCCAUGCGAGUCAUUGUAGCAAUACAAGGCAGACGGCUCAGUAACGCGUAGUCAAUCUACCCUAUGGACGGGAAUAACCUCGGGAAACUGAGAAUAAUGCCCGAUAGAACAUUAUGCCUGGAAUGGUUUAUGUUUCAAAUGAUUUAUCGCCAUAGGAUGGGACUGCGGCCUAUCAGUUUGUUGGUGAGGUAAUGGCCCACCAAGACUAUUACAGGUACGGGCUCUGAGAGGAGUAGCCCGGAGAUGGGUACUGAGACACGGACCCAGGCCCUAUGGGGCGCAGCAGGCGAGAAAACUUUGCAAUGUGCGAAAGCACGACAAGGUUAAUCCGAGUGGUUUCUGCUAAAGAAACCUUUUGUCAGUCCUAGAAACACUAACGAAUAAGGGGUGGGCAAGUUCUGGUGUCAGCCGCCGCGGUAAAACCAGCACCUCAAGUGGUCAGGAUGAUUAUUGGGCCUAAAGCAUCCGUAGCUCGUUUUGUAAGUUUUCGGUUAAAUCCAUGCGCUUAACGUAUGGGCUGCGGGGAAUACUGCAUAACUAGGAAGUGGGAGAGGUAGACGGUACUCGGGAGGAAGGGGUAAAAUCCUUUGAUCUCUUGAUGACCACCUGUGGCGAAGGCGGUCUACCAGAACACGUUCGACGGUGAGGGAUGAAAGCUGGGGGAGCAAACCGGAUUAGAUACCCGGGUAGUCCCAGCUGUAAACUAUGCAAACUCAGUGAUGCAUUGGCUUAUGGCCAAUGCAGUGCUGCAGGGAAGCCGUUAAGUUUGCCGCCUGGGAAGUACGUACGCAAGUAUGAAACUUAAAGGAAUUGGCGGGGGAGCACCACAAGGGGUGCAGCCUGCGGUUCAAUUGGAUUCAACGCCGGAAC